GGGAUGCACAUGGGUGGCUGCACGCCGCCGCCGUUCGAACAGGAAAUGCACGCUCAACCCGGGGUGGGGUCUUUUGUGUGGUCGUUCGGGGCGUCUCGCGGGAGCCCCGGGGCGCAGAGGCCACGGCGGGCGGCCCUGCACGCGUCGCCGGGCACAGGUCCUUGUGCCCCAGGCAGCGGGCACACGGGUUCCCGGGUUUGCACAAGCCCUGGGUCCAGAACCUGAUGCCCGCGAACCCGGGAUACAGUAGAGAAGGAGUCAGCGUAAAAUGUGGGGUGGUGCGAGCCGGAGUUCCGAUCGAGCCGCCUGACUUAAGAGGCUGCCAGGGAGAACGCCCUGAAUGCACUCUGCCCUGAGAUGAGGAAACUGAGGCACAUUGCUGCUAGGAAAUGAAAGGACCUGGAUCUGAACCCAUAGGCAGUUGGAGCCUGGAGCUUGGGCUGUUAAUCACGCCACUCCAAUGCCUCAUGCCAGAGACAAGAGACGAAGAUGCCAAAUGAGACCCAUGUAAUAAGCCAAGUGAAAAACUCA
Ceratotherium simum simum (southern white rhinoceros) is the source of this 531-nucleotide non-coding RNA. The record is from RefSeq and is a predicted model, not a curated record. NCBI's taxonomy places the organism in Eukaryota, Metazoa, Chordata, Mammalia, Perissodactyla, Rhinocerotidae.